AAAGGGAACUCCCUGACCCCUUGCGCUUCCCAAGUGAGGCAAUGCCUCGCCCUGCUUCGGCUCGCGCACGGUGCGUGCACCCACUGACCCGCACCCACUGUCUUGCACUCCCUAGUGAGAUGAACCCGGUACCUCAGAUGGAAAUGCAGAAAUCACCCAUCUUCUCCGUCGCUCACGCUGGGAGCUGUAGACCGGAGCUGUUUCUAUUCGGCCAUCUUGGCUCCUCAAGAAAAUUUUAAUAAUCUUUUCAUCCUGUCCUCUCUCCAGCCUCUCCUCUACUACCAAGAUGAUCAGUUGCUUCCAUUUGAAUCACUGUCAAGAAAGAAUGAAGCAGCCAAUUCUUUUGGAGGAAGUUGAUAGUCUCUUUUUGGGUGUGUGACAGACAGCACAAUGAUACCUGUGUGGAAGAGGAUGAGGAUGAGGUGGGAGCUACAAGUGCUCAGAGCCUUGGACAUUGCUUCUGCUGAGUUCAGCCUCAGCACAGAGUGAAGGAUUACAGCAUAGGAAGAAAAUACCAGAGCCAUAUCACUCCCAACCAAGACCCAUGCUAGCAUCAGUUGGUAAAAUUUGUUCACAGUGAUGUCAUCACAAGCCAGGCUGAUAACCCCCAAGUUAGAGCAGAGGCAGUGCUCGAUUUCAUUCCUGGAACAGUAGUGUCUCUGGGCAGCCAGUAUAGGCACUGGGAUGGUCAACAGGCCAUUCCUGAGCAUGAUGAACCCUGUGGCUUUGAAGACAAAAGCUUUAGUGACUAUGGAGGGGUACUGAAGAGGGCGACAGAUGGCUAUGUAUCUGUCUACUGCCAUGCAGAGAAAGAUG
This is a long non-coding RNA of Homo sapiens (human), 816 nucleotides long. Lineage: Eukaryota; Metazoa; Chordata; Mammalia; Primates; Hominidae. The record is from Ensembl.